AGAAUCAACGUUGGCGGCGUGCCUAACACAUGCAAGUCGCACGAGAAAGGGGCUUCGGCCCUGAGUAAAGUGGCGCACGGGUGAGUAACACGUGAAUAAUCUACCUCUGAGUGGGGAAUAACUGAGAGAAAUCUUAGCUAAUACCGCAUAAUACUUACGAGUCAAAGCAGCAAUGCGCUUGGAGAGGAGUUCGCGGCCGAUUAGUUAGUUGGCGGGGUAAUGGCCCACCAAGACGAUGAUCGGUA
RNAcentral lists this ribosomal RNA (245 nucleotides) under uncultured bacterium. RNAcentral describes it as "partial small subunit ribosomal RNA". It matches the Rfam family "Bacterial small subunit ribosomal RNA", at positions 26 to 285 of the family's 1533-position model. The record is from RNAcentral.